AAUUAUACCGUGAAACUGCGAAUGGCUCAUUAAAUCAGUUAUCGUUUAUUUGAUAGUACCUUACUACUUGGAUAACCGUGGUAAUUCUAGAGCUAAUACAUGCUGAAAACCCCGACUUCGGGAGGGGUGUAUUUAUUAGAUAAAAAACCAAUGCCCUUCGGGGCUCCUUGGUGAUUCAUAAUAACUUAACAGAUCGCAUGGCCUUGCGCCGGCGACGGUUCAUUCAAAUUUCUGCCCUAUCAACUUUCGAUGGUAAGGUAUUGGCUUACCAUGGUUUCAACGGGUAACGGGGAAUUAGGGUUCGAUUCCGGAGAGGGAGCCUGAGAAACGGCUACCACAUCCAAGGAAGGCAGCAGGCGCGCAAAUUACCCAAUCCCGACACGGGGAGGUAGUGACAAUAAAUACUGAUACAGGGCUCUUUUGGGUCUUGUAAUCGGAAUGAGUACAAUUUAAACCUCUUAACGAGGAACAAUUGGAGGGCAAGUCUGGUGCCAGCAGCCGCGGUAAUUCCAGCUCCAAUAGCGUAUAUUAAAGUUGUUGCAGUUAAAAAGCUCGUAGUUGAAUCUUGGGCCUGGCUGGCCGGUCCGCCUCACCGCGUGCACUGGUCCGGCCGGGCCUUUCCUUCUGGAGAGCCCCAUGCCCUUCACUGGGUGUGCGGGGGAACCAGGACUUUUACUUUGAAAAAAUUAGAGUGUUCAAAGCAGGCCUUUGCUCGAAUACGUUAGCAUGGAAUAAUAGAAUAGGACGUGCGAUCCUAUUUUGUUGGUUUCUAGGACCGCCGUAAUGAUUAAUAGGGACAGUCGGGGGCAUCAGUAUUCAAUUGUCAGAGGUGAAAUUCUUGGAUUUAUUGAAGACUAACUACUGCGAAAGCAUUUGCCAAGGAUGUUUUCAUUAAUCAGUGAACGAAAGUUAGGGGAUCGAAGACGAUCAGAUACCGUCGUAGUCUUAACCGUAAACUAUGCCGACUAGGGAUCGGGCGGUGUUCCUUUGUUGACCCGCUCGGCACCUUUCGAGAAAUCAAAGUUU
Molecule: ribosomal RNA, 1026 nt
Filed under: Teichosporaceae sp.
Lineage: Eukaryota; Fungi; Ascomycota; Dothideomycetes; Pleosporales; Teichosporaceae
Description: SSU rRNA
Rfam family: Eukaryotic small subunit ribosomal RNA
Source: RNAcentral